AACAGGAUUAGAUACCCUGGUAGUCCACGCCGUAAACGAUGUCGACUAGCCGUUGGGCUCCUUGAGAGCUUUGUGGCGCAGUUAACGCGAUAAGUCGACCGCCUGGGGAGUACGGCCGCAAGGUUAAAACUCAAAUGAAUUGACGGGGGCCCGCACAAGCGGUGGAGCGUGUGGUUUAAUUCGAUGCAACGCGAAGAACCUUACCUACCCUUGACAUCGUGCGAACUUUCCAGAGAUGGAUUGGUGCCUUCGGGAACGCACAGACAGGUGCUGCAUGGCUGUCGUCAGCUCGUGUUGUGAAAUGUUGGGUUAAGUCCCGUAACGAGCGCAACCCUUGUCCUUAUUUGCCAGCGAGUCAUGUCGGGAACUCUAAGGAGACUGCCGGUGACAAACCGGAGGAAGGUGGGGACGACGUCAAGUCAUCAUGGCCCUUACGGGUAGGGCUACACACGUGCUACAAUGGCCGGUACAAAGGGUUGCGAAGCCGUGAGGUGGAGCUAAUCCCGAAAAGCUGGUCUCAGUCCGGAUCGGAGUCUGCAACUCGACUCCGUGAAGUCGGAAUCGCUAGUAAUCGUGAAUCAGAAUGUCACGGUGAAUACGUUCCCGGGCCUUGUACACACCGCCCGUCACACCAUGGGAGUGGACUGCACCAGAAGUGGUUAGCCUAACUUCGGAGGGCGAUCACCACGGUGUGGUUCAUGACUGGGGUGAAGUCGUAACAAGGUAACC
This 729-nucleotide ribosomal RNA is filed under the name uncultured bacterium. Its description in RNAcentral is "bacterial SSU rRNA". It matches the Rfam family "Bacterial small subunit ribosomal RNA", at positions 771 to 1501 of the family's 1533-position model. The record is from RNAcentral.